CUCAUCUCUUCUCCCUGCCAGCCUGCUGUGGUACCAGGCCUCUGGGAUGCUAUCUCUCCACACAGGAUUUAGAUAAUGUAGCUCCUGGGAAUCCUUCUUCUGAAGCAGAAGCACUAUACCAGUACUGGACAAUUAAAGAAUGAAAAGGACAAUCAAACCCCAAAGGAGCUCAGCAUCUUAAUAUGAAGACAGUGAUUUACCAUAUUUCUCUGCCUAAUCCUCUCGAAAACUCUGUAUUAUAAUGGUUACCUGGUAGCAAAAUGAUGGCUAGGGUUCUCUAAGGUUUUUUACUCUCUGUUUGCUGGUAGUAGUAAAUAGAGAUGAGAGCUGAGAAGGAAGAGCCACCAGCAUAGGUGCUAAAUUGCUGCUAAUAGGGAAUGCAAAAAGAUUCUAUUUACAUUGUUAGCAGUCUGGUAGGUUCAUGGAAAAUUAAUUCAGAGCUUUCUGUUGGGAAUGAUAAUCCUGGUGCUGCUCGCACUUAGGAGAUGGGAAGCCUUGAUAUUUCCUUUUCGUUGCUGCAAGAGAGAAGAGCUGUACUUUAUGCAUCUCCUCUGACGAUGCCACAGAGUGGUACUUUCUGUGUCAGGAAGGAUGACAGUACAACAGUUUGGUGCUGUGGAGUAUAUUUAGAAGGUUAUAAAAUGCAUUUAGCCACGGAAACAGAACUACAGCUAUGACUACUGAUAAAGCCUAAAGCUGUCUCAUGCACAGCAAUCUAAGCCUAUAAAUAUACAGAGAAAUUUAUCCCACCUAUUCCUGUCUGCUUCAGUCACAAUUGAAGGGAUUUUAAGAGUUUUCUCUCCAUCAGACUGAUCUUGAAUUUCAGUUGUUGCUGGGACCUGAAGCAUCCACUGUGCUUGUUGGACAAAGCAGAAUCCUGGUGCCUCAGAAAAGCUGGAAUUUCUGUAU
Long non-coding RNA from Gallus gallus (chicken), 909 nucleotides. NCBI's taxonomy places the organism in Eukaryota, Metazoa, Chordata, Aves, Galliformes, Phasianidae. The record is from Ensembl.